This is a long non-coding RNA of Helianthus annuus (common sunflower), 4088 nucleotides long. RefSeq lists it as uncharacterized. NCBI's taxonomy places the organism in Eukaryota, Viridiplantae, Streptophyta, Magnoliopsida, Asterales, Asteraceae. The record is from RefSeq and is a predicted model, not a curated record. The transcript has 2 exons.
GGAAAUAACAGCUGAAAGUGUAAAAUGUGAUAAAUAAAUAAAAGAAAAGAAAAGUUCAGUGCUUGUGGGUAUGGUGUGUGUGGCGAGAAAGAGAGGGAGAAGGAAAACCCUUCACCUUCAACUCAUCGCAAGAAAUUCAGCAAUUAAGUGUGUAUUAGAGCAAGAAUUGAAUGCAUGAGUCUAAUUCCUCUAUAAUCUAAGUGCAUUGAAUAUAAGGAUUGAAAGAAAGAGGAGCAAGUUCCGGAAAACAACAAAAGGCUCAAGAACGAGAUAAGUUUGUUUACUUCCUUGCUAUUAAUGUUUAGUAGCCGUUGAACUUAUUUCAUGAAUAUGUGAAGGAUUGUAGUUGUAUAUUUCGUUGAUUAUUAGUCGAUUAUUAAUGGAAGAACAAGUUCGCAUAAUAGAAUGUAAAAAGUAAUGAUUGUGUUGAUUCGUUAUGAACAGGUCAACCGGGUUAGAAUGAGAAAGUAAAAAGUAAAGUUUCAUAUUGAUUCUUAUGAACGGGUCAACCGGAUAAGAAUGUAAAAAGUAAGAAAAUUGUGUUGAUUCGUCAUGAACGGGUCAACCGGGUUAGAAUGUGAAAGUGAAAAGUAAGGUUUCGUGAUGAUCCGUUGUGAACGGGUUGUCCGAACUAGAAUGAGAAUGUAGAAGAAUGAUUCCAUAUCGAUCCGUUGUGAACGGGCCGGCCGGUAGAAUGAGAAUGAGAAAGGAAUGAUUGGUCUUAUGUUGAUCCGUUAGAAACGGGUCAACAAGUUCAUCAUGUAUUUAAUCGAUCAAGAACUAAGGCUAAGAAUGAAAUAUUGAGUUGAAUAUUAUGUUGCUAAAAGUUAGUAUUACAUAUUGUAUAGAAUUGUUAACAAUUCUUGUUGUGUUGUUAGGUAAAGCUCCUACUUAGAUGGCCACGCCUUGCUCGGAAUGAACAUUAUUCGCAACGCCUUCAACACGCUUCCGAACUAGUGUAUGUAAAUGGGUUAAAAUGUUUUGGUUAUGAUGUAGACUAUGUUUAGUUGUUUAAAAAGUUUCUCUAAAGACUUACUACUUGAUUCAUUAAAACUAUUAAACAUAUCAUAAUAAGUUUAUAAGACAUUAUUUUAAAGACUAUCAAUACAUCAAGUUUGACAUUGUGGGUUUACAUGACUAAAUCUAGUAGUUGAAAAUUGUUGCGGGUUCGGUUAAUGAUUUGAAAUUUGAAAUCGACCGAAUAAAUCUGGUAGUUUAUUAGAAAAAUAAAAUGGUUGAAAUAAUCCAACACUGGAAAUUGGAAAAUAGUCAAAUACAAAUCUGGUUUAUUGUCUUCAUAGUUAUGGAUUAAAAUUACAAAAUCAAAAUAAUUCAAAAAGAAAUAAUCUUAUAACAAAAUAAGCCAUUUUUGAAAGGUUCGCUUUCGUUGACUAAUCACUUUCGUUGACUAUGAAUAGUUAAGUCAAAGUCUCGAUGAAUAAAAGUCAACAAUAAGCAAAUAAUAGCAUACCCCCUUCAUCAUUUUCUGCUUCAUUUUCCAACCACAAAUAUGUUUCUUAAUUUCGUUCAUCUGCAUUCUCUGCUCUUCAUUUCAAUCACAAUUUUUUUAUUAACGAUUUCUUCCCGCCCUAUCAUCACUGAUAAAGAACUCAACAUUAUCUCCAUCCCAUUCGCGAAAAAUGUGACCUUAAUGAGCUCCGAUGGCUAUAAAUUCGAGGUGCGGUUACAGGUUGCGCUGCAAUCUGAGAUGAUGAUGCAAAUGAUCAUCGACGGAGGCUUGUCCGAUGAGAUGGUACUCUCUUUUCCUAAUAUAACCGGUGAGACCAUGUCUAAGGUGUUGGAGAAUUGUAACAAACACCUGUAUCACGAAAGUGCCCGAAAUAACAUCACCACUGUCGAUGAGAUGAGAGCGUUUGAUGCACAAUUUGUCGAUGUCCAUUAUGAGACGCUCUUCAAUCUGUUUCGGGUUUGUUUUACUGUCUUUUUAUCAUUUUCCCGCAAUCCACUCAAAUUGGACCAACAAAGAUUUAAGGGUAGCAAGAUAUGACUACAGCAUACAUAAUAAUUAUUAUAUUUGUAAACAUUUUUUGAUAUUUGUCUACGGUUUAUAGUUAUAAGAUUUCAAAGAUAAAGUUACUUGAUUGACUUUUUUCUUUUGUUUUAUCUUUAACUAGCCUAAGACCCCGCGAGCUUCGCGGGUGGCUAAACACUAACUAAACACAUAAAAUAAUUUAAACAUAAAAGCGUUAAAGUGUGAUUUGUUAAGCCUAAUAUUUUAAGAGAUUUGAGCACGUUCCAAUAGUACAUCUACAUGAUGUUCGUUACACAUUAAGUUUUUGUAUAUAAAACCUUCAUUAUGAUGUUUUCAUGCCUUUUGUCAAAAUGACUUGCACCGGCAGUGUGAACAUAAAAAAAUACAUUAAGAAAUGAAGGUAGAGUAAUACAUAAUACAAACAAAUUCAUCUACGUAAAGGUACUAACGAACAUUGUGUCACAAAAGUUGUAAACGAAAUGCGUUAAUGCUAUGAAUGAUAUGAUUAAUAUUUAGUAGAAACAAAUUACAUUAGUUGAUGCUCAGACGCUCGACAGAUUACAAAUAGCACUUCAUUAAAAAACCAUUACCUGUUUUUUGAGGAGUCCGCAAUAACCCCCAAAACGGAACAAAGUGAUCACUUCCCUCUCUAAAAAAACAUGUUACAUACCAGCGAAUCUUUAAUAGAUCAACAAAAGGUCAUGGUUUUCAUCUUUUGACUGGCAUCAAGUUUAUAUAAAUUUCAAUAUCUAAAUUCUUAUUUAAAUUCAUAUUAAUAUAACCAUGGAUGCAACCCAAACAGGCACAACACCAUAGUCCAAACUAUGCCAGGGAGCUAAGAAAUAUUUAAAUAUUAAAAAAGAAAGAAAUUAAAACCAAUAUAAUAACAGAAGUAAGCAUUGAGCCUCAAAUAGCACACCAAGUACCUAAAUUUAUAACCAAUAUAGUAAUAACUAUCUGUAAACCUUAAAAUUAAGUUAAAACGAUGUAGUAGAAACAGAAGUAAGUAUCAAACAAUGACUAAAGAAGCAUAUAAUCGGAUGCAUCAGAGAAUGUUUGGAAGUCAUACAUAUCUUUUAGUAUACAAAAAUGCUAAUAAAAAAGAAAGUUAUAGAAGUUGUACCACUCCAACAAAAAUUAAAAAUGCAUAGAUGUAACCAAUCUGAGCUGGACCACCUUCUUGCAUAGCCUAAAAAGUAUAAUCAAUUAGAACAGAAAUUUAGGGAGCUAGUUACAUAUAAGAAAUGAAACUACAGAAACUAAUAAUUCAGAUACAGAGAUUAAAAAUAUAAGUUAUCUAACUCACCAAUAACAAUUGGUUCAGAAUCAGUGGCCCAACAAAUUGAGCAAGAUCAUUGCCGAUCUACAAAUGAGCAAAGGAAGAACAAUAUUAUUACCUUUAUCUUAUCUAAUGUUCAUUGCUAGGUUCAGUAAUAAGGAAUUCAUAUAUGAUAUAUUGAGUUUCAAAAAUGUCCAUAUAUUACAAAGUGAGUAACUCAUCAAAAAGUCAAAAUUCAUGAUAUAUUCAUUAUACUUUUUCAAAACUAUGCAAAAAUCAAUGAACUCAGAACUGAAGUAUUCAUAGGGUACCUUCCAAAAGCCUCCCACCAAAACCUUUAAUCAAACAAACAUGACAUAUUUAGACUUUCUCAUUCUUAGUGAAAAUAUUUGUAACGGCCAACAAAGCUUUGUAACAUAAAGUCUUUAGACAAACCUUCCUCCAAGACUAUGAUAUAAGACCCUUAAAAGCCAUGGUUUAGGUUUAGGGACCUCGUUUGCCCAACAUGAUUGAAAUCUAAAGUGCAAAAAUAUAAAUUUAUCAUUAAGAAGAAAAUAGCCCAGGUGCUUAUUUUCCAUAUAUCCUUUGACAACUUCUUUAAUAAGACCACAUGGAAAAUCCAUGAUCCAUAAAGUAUACAAACUGCAUGAAAACAUAAAAAGUUGAAGAUGAAAUUCUUAAUAUGGAACUUCAUGAAAACAUAAAAAGUUAAAAGAUGAAAUUUAUAUAAACAUUCAAAUCCAAAUUCAGAGAUGGAUAGACAACGAAGUUUAUAAAAGCGACACAUGCUUUACUUGUGGUUGAGGACAAAGAGGU